UGGGGAAUAUUGCACAAUGGGCGGAAGCCUGAUGCAGCAACGCCGCGUGAGCGAUGAAGGCCUUUGGGUCGUAAAGCUCUGUCCUUGGGGAAGAAAAAAUGACGGUACCCUUGGAGGAAGCCCCGGCUAACUACGUGCCAGCAGCCGCGGUAAUACGUAGGGGGCAAGCGUUAUCCGGAAUUAUUGGGCGUAAAGAGUGCGUAGGUGGUUUUGUAAGCGCGGGGUUGAAAGGCAAUGGCUCAACCAUUGUAAGCCCUGCGAACUGUGAGACUUGAGUGCAGGAGAGGAAAGCGGAAUUCCUAGUGUAGCGGUGAAAUGCGUAGAUAUUAGGAGGAACACCAGUGGCGAAGGCGGCUUUCUGGACUGUAACUGACACUGAGGCACGAAAGCGUGGGGAGCA
RNAcentral lists this ribosomal RNA (400 nucleotides) under uncultured bacterium. RNAcentral describes it as "bacterial SSU rRNA". It matches the Rfam family "Bacterial small subunit ribosomal RNA", at positions 355 to 770 of the family's 1533-position model. The record is from RNAcentral.